CGUGAACUGUUCACACCACCAAAAAUGCAGUAUCUUUAGCCAAAUCUGAAUUAAUCUGUUCAGAAUGAACAAGCAGAAUAGUCUUUGGAUUUGAUCCAAAUCCCUGAAGCACUUUGGGAAUGAGAAUGGCUAUGCCAGACAGAGAGACCCUGGCGACUUAUGAUACUGCGGAACACAACAGGCACUUCAGAUUGGUCCCAGUCCUCUACGUAUUGAUAUAUAUAUAGAUGCCUAAACCAAAUGGACCUCAUUUCCUUUAAAAUUCUGAUAUCCAAAGUAAGCAGCACCAGUUAAGUUGAGGGAGAGCAGUGAUAUUGAGCAGUCAGCUAAAGAAACAAAGCUGUAGAGGCAAAAGAAAGCAGUAUAGAGAUUUAUUCUCCCACUGGCAUGAAAGCUGUGAUUCUGACCACCUUCUACAUCACUGUCUACCACCCCUACACCAGCUCUUAGAAGACAGAGUAACUGCAGGAUGCUGUGGUACCUGGAGUGAUGCCAGACUGCAGAGGCCACCUGGUGACAUGAGGAGAGAUUCAACUUAACAUGGUGAGGAUGGCAGAGUAGAGCUAAAGUGGAAAAAGCAUUUCCCUGAUGAAUUUAAGAAGCUACUGAAUAAAUAUGUCUGGAAGUACC
Molecule: long non-coding RNA, 630 nt
Filed under: Pan troglodytes (chimpanzee)
Lineage: Eukaryota; Metazoa; Chordata; Mammalia; Primates; Hominidae
Description: long non-coding RNA NONPTRT001380
Source: RNAcentral